Molecule: RNA transcript, 2356 nt
Organism: Salvia miltiorrhiza (redroot sage)
Lineage: Eukaryota; Viridiplantae; Streptophyta; Magnoliopsida; Lamiales; Lamiaceae
Exons: 4
Source: RefSeq, a predicted model, not a curated record
UUCUUCCCUAAUAUGUUGCUACGCUCAUUUCCCGGCGAAACAGCCUCUCUUCCUUCUUGUCAAUGUUUCCGUCCUAACCGUCCGCCACCAUCUGCAGUUUUCGGCGAAGACAGCGCCUCGACGCUUCUCCCUCAUCCAUCCCAAAUCUCUCUCUGAACACACACGCUCAAGGCAUAGGGGCGAGCCCUAAUUCUCCUUCUUCGUCUUAAUCCGCCGCCGCUUCCUCAAAAUCCACCGUCUGAUUGUCGCCGUUAGGCUCUAAAACUCCGGCGUCCCUGACCUAUGUUCAUCUCUCUACUCAUCGAUUUCCCCUCUAAGAAGGUAAAGAUCGAGCCCUAGCUUCCUCAUCAGAAAUCCCGCUCCGCCUUUGCAAAUUCCGACGAAGCCGUCGUCUCGUCCAGUUGAUGUCGCCUCUCCCUUCGCUUGACUCUCUCCCUUACUCCCACUCUAUCGCUAGGGUUUAUCGACUGCAAAACUUUCACCUGCGAAAAUGGUGACCCGAUUUCACGUACGCUCCUUGCUCAUCACCAAGUUGCUUCUCUUAUCGGCGUUCUCUCACUCCCGCGGCGUCGUUUCCAUCUUUGCUCCAGAGGGCCAUCUCCGACGAAUUCUCCGAUUUGAGCCUUACCUGAAAAGCGCCUGCAAGAGAUUCAUCAUGGAGCUGCACCCUACCUUCAAGUACACCGAGGUUAUGCAAAAAAAUUAUGAAGUUCUAUUAGGUAAGACUCUCUGCCUUAUUCUUUUGUAUCGAUUCCAGCUUGUGAAUAAUACUAUUACUUUAAUAAUCAAUUAGAGAUCUCAAUGUUUAUUCUCAUUGGCUAGAGUUUUUAAUGCUUCUGAGAUUGAACAAGGUAAUAUCUUAAUUCUUUUAGUAAGGGACGCCCCUGGCAGUUUGGUUCUUGGUUCAGCUAUAUUUAUUAUUUAGAUGGUAUGAUAAAUCAUUUUCUUUACCCUGCAGUAUGGAUCAACUGAGAUAAUUAAGUUGCAGCUUUUGAUAAUAUAUUGUUCUGUUAGGCUUCUUGAUCAUAACUACCAUGAAUAAAUGUUUUCCAUGUUCAGAAGAAUAAAUGCCAAGGAGCAUGUUGUCGGUUGGUAUAGUACUGGCCCAAAACUGAAGGAGAAUGACCUAAAUAUUCAUGGACUUUUCAACUAGAAAGAGCAGAUCUGUAUUAUGAGCGUUGCACACUAAGCUGAUCAAAUCAUAUACAACAUGAUUUGAUUUCCUAAUUAGCUCUUCAAACGCUCUAAUUCAGUAGAGGUAGGUUGGAGAUGGGAACUAAAUUUAUAUGAUUCCUUUUGAGAAUAUGAGGUUGAUGCAUGGAUUUUGGAUAUGCAUGUAACUAUUGUAAAGUAAAUAAUAUUAUUAUCCUAUUCUAUAUAAAAAAAAAAUUGCAGGAUUAAGAAAUUAAUUGAUAUGGAAGCACUGGGGCUGUCUAGUUUAGCAGUAAAUUAUAAUUUUUUUCCCAACAGUACUUAGCACUUAGCGGAUCAAGUUGAUGGAAGUCGAUGCACCGUGUUUCAAUCGAGAAUGCAGCCAAAAACUGAGCUAUGAGGACCAAUGUUGUGAAAAUCUUAAGGCGGGAUUGAGGCGUUUUGCCUCGUCGAGGCGAGGCGGUAAGCCUCGAGGCGGUUUGAGGCGUAAGCCUCACACCUAACACACAAAAAAACUCAUAAUAAUUUUAAAAAACAAAUAACACCAUUUAAAAAUUAAAAAAUAUAUAUAAAUUAUGAGUUUAAAAGAGGAAGCUGACUGCUGCUGCUCUAGUUUGCUGAUGUUUUUCGAAUGCUUGUAUGAUUGUAUCUCAAUAAUAUUUUUAUUUAUACUUUCAAUAGAUUAGGGUUAAACUAUAAUAUUUUUAAGGCCCACCAUCCCAAAGUUGCGGCUGAUAUAGCUUGGAAAUAAGAGAAUAAAAGAGGUCAAACAUUGCGGUUGUGAUAGGUUAAAAAUUAUCUUAUUUAUCACCGCCUCAUGUAUUAUUUGAUUCCUUGAGGCGCCGCCUCAUUUGCUUUAAGGCGCAAAUUCGUAAAAUAUGCAUAAGGCGUAUAUGCGGUGCGGGUUUAUCACCGCCUCGCCUUGAGGCGCGCCUCAAGGCGGCCGCCUCAUUCGAUUUUCACAACACUGAUGAGGACUACUUCUAACGAGAAGGCUGAGGCAGAGAACGACGUUUCAAAUGUCUAGCAAGUUGCACGCAUUUGUAAUAUUUUUUUUAAUUAAACAUAUAGCGAAAUAGAAUAUAUGUGACGUUUUCAUUGUAUUUGGAUGAUAAUGUAUGAAUAUUUUGGAUGUUAUAUAAUACUCCCUUCGUCCGUCAAAAGUACGACACUUUGGCUGGGCACGGGAUUUAAUAAAAUUGGU